AUUGAACGCUGGCGGCAGGCCUAACACAUGCAAGUCGAACGGGUGGCGGACGGGUGAGUAAUGUCUGGGAAACUGCCUGAUGGAUGGGGAUAACUACUGGAAACGGUAGCUAAUAACGCAUACCAUCAGAUGUGCCCAGAUGGGAUUAGCUUGUUGGUGGGGUAACGGCUCACCAAGGCGAGGAUCCCUAGCUGGUCUGAGAGGAGGAUCAGACACACUGGAACUGAGACACGGUCCAGACUCCUACGGGAGGCAGCAGUGGGGAAUAUUGCACAAUGGGCGAAAGCCUGAUGCAGCCAGGCCGCGUGUAUGAAGAAGGCCUUCGGGUUGUAAAGUACUUUCAGCGGGGAGGCGUUACCCGCAGAAUAAGCACCGGCUAACUCCGUGCCAGCAGCCGCGGUAAUUC
RNAcentral lists this ribosomal RNA (406 nucleotides) under uncultured bacterium. RNAcentral's name for it is "partial 16S ribosomal RNA". It matches the Rfam family "Bacterial small subunit ribosomal RNA", at positions 30 to 526 of the family's 1533-position model. The record is from RNAcentral.